AUGUUUCUUUCUUUUUUUCUCUUUUUUUUUUUUAAACGAUUGUCCACAGAGAGGUGCCGAUUGCAUCACCAUGCCGACAGACCCCUCCCUCAAAGUCGCUGACGUGCUGGAGCGCCAGCUGGAUCUUCUGCUGGAGUUUCUCCACCUUCACCUUCUCCUGGAGCCAGGAUCGGUCUUUACGGGAGCCAUAUGCAGCAGAGCCUCACUAACGUCUCUGUUCUACCAUAAAUAACCGUUGCAGAGACAGCAAUGCCAGGUGAGGCAGGGAUGAGUGCUCAGAGUUUGCUUCCAGG
Molecule: long non-coding RNA, 293 nt
Organism: Acanthopagrus latus (yellowfin seabream)
Lineage: Eukaryota; Metazoa; Chordata; Actinopteri; Spariformes; Sparidae
Exons: 3
Source: RefSeq, a predicted model, not a curated record